UGAUGAGCCGUGAAAGUGAAUUUCCUCAUAUGAAACACAAUCAUUCUGAAUCAGAGUCUGAAAUCACAGUAAACUACCAUGCACUCCAGCUCAACAGUGAUGAUGCUGACUAGCAGUGUGGUGAGGGAGGGAUGCUCUCCUCUCAGCUGCUCUGCCACCUAUGAAGCCAUAUAGGGCACAGCCAUUUUGGGUCUCAUUCUCAGCUCCAGUGUCACAUGACUCCCCCAGAGUCCUGAUAUGGCCAUCAAUCUGGUCCUGAACCUGGGAGCGUUAGACCGGCGCCACCGAACAAUCUGCAGCAGUACAGGUUUCUAAGGCGAACCACAGCUCAGAGCCACGAACAGUGAGUAAUGAUAAUGAUGCUGAUAACAGCCGUGGUUACACAUCAAUGGCAGGUAUAGGAAGGUAGUGAGUGUGUUACGUCAUUGUGGUGAUACAGAGAUGGUACAGAGCAAAUAUUGAAAAUACUGAAUACAAUUAUAAUACUAUGGGUUAGCUAUAAAUCUGUCAGCACGACCAUAAUCGGACAGAGUAAGCAGUCCUGCUGGUACAGAAGAGAUGAGAGGGAAGAAUAGUGUUCACCCUGUCAGCUCUUCAGAGGAUCAGCUUUACCACGGUCUGCCCCUCCACACACAAGUCUCUCUCCUUGCUGAUCUGCGUGCACUGCCACCUGGUGUCCAAUCAAAGUGAAGCUCUCACGGUGCUCCUCGAGGUGCUUGGGACAAUGGCCAGUCCUUUCAUCAUCUCAGGAAUACUCUCAGGAGCUUGAAAGGAGGAUGACAACAACAUCACAGUGGCGGUGGGGACAGCAUCAGAGGCAGAGGAUGGUGGUCUGGUCAGAAUGUGGAGAAGAUAGAUGCAAUGGCCAUCAUUAUCAACCAGAGGAGCAGAAA
Molecule: long non-coding RNA, 893 nt
Organism: Oncorhynchus kisutch (coho salmon)
Lineage: Eukaryota; Metazoa; Chordata; Actinopteri; Salmoniformes; Salmonidae
Exons: 3
Source: RefSeq, a predicted model, not a curated record